CCUACGGGUGGCAGCAGUGGGGGAUAUUGCACAAUGGGGGAAACCCUGAUGCAGCGACGCCGCGUGAGUGAAGAAGUAUUUCGGUAUGUAAAGCUCUAUCAGCAGGGAAGAAAAUGACAGUACCUGACCAAGAAGCCCCGGCCAACUACGUCCCAGCAGCCGCGGUAAUACGUAGGGGGCAAGCGUUAUCCGGAUUUACUGGGUGUAAAGGGAGCGUAGACGGUUUUGUAAGUCUGGAGUGAAAGCCCGGGGCCCAACCCCGGGGCUGCUUUGGAAACUGUGUAACUGGAGUGCAGGAGGGGCAGGCGGAAUGCCGGGUGUAGCGGUGAAAUGCGUAGAUAUCAGGAGGAACACCGGCGGCGAAGGCGGCCUGCGGGACUGAAACUGACGUGGAGGCUCGAAAGCGUGGGGAGCAAACAGGAUUAGAUACCCCUGUAGU
RNAcentral lists this ribosomal RNA (439 nucleotides) under uncultured bacterium. RNAcentral describes it as "partial 16S ribosomal RNA". It matches the Rfam family "Bacterial small subunit ribosomal RNA", at positions 338 to 794 of the family's 1533-position model. The record is from RNAcentral.